UACGUAGGGGGCAAGCGUUGUCCGGAUUUAUUGGGCGUAAAGAGCGUGUAGGCGGUUGGGUAGGUCCGUUGUGAAAACUCGAGGCUCAACCUCGAGACGCCGAUGGAAACCCCCCAGCUAGAGUCCGGAAGAGGAGAGUGGAAUUCCUGGUGUAGCGGUGAAAUGCGCAGAUAUCAGGAGGAACACCAGUAGCGAAGGCGGCACUCUGGGCCGGUACUGACGCUGAGGAGCGAAAGCGUGGGGAGCGAACAGG
This 253-nucleotide ribosomal RNA is filed under the name uncultured bacterium. Its description in RNAcentral is "partial 16S ribosomal RNA". It matches the Rfam family "Bacterial small subunit ribosomal RNA", at positions 524 to 776 of the family's 1533-position model. The record is from RNAcentral.